AAGACUAUACUUUCAGGGAUCAUUUCUAUAGUUUUUACUAGAGAAGUUUCUCUGCAUGUGUAGAGUACCGAAACCCAUGAGGAAGAGAUGUAGUGUUCUCUCUUGAGUGUGAAGCUGACUUUUGGUGUUGCUUGGGAGAAAUUCAAAUCUUUUGC
Callithrix jacchus (white-tufted-ear marmoset) is the source of this 155-nucleotide small nucleolar RNA. Its record names the gene U3. It matches the Rfam family "Small nucleolar RNA U3". From Rfam's summary of the family: Small nucleolar RNAs (snoRNAs) are involved in the processing and modification of rRNA in the nucleolus. There are two main classes of snoRNAs: the box C/D class, and the box H/ACA class. The record is from Ensembl. NCBI's taxonomy places the organism in Eukaryota, Metazoa, Chordata, Mammalia, Primates, Cebidae.